RNAcentral lists this ribosomal RNA (492 nucleotides) under Triticum aestivum (bread wheat). RNAcentral describes it as "partial small subunit ribosomal RNA". The record is from RNAcentral. Lineage: Eukaryota; Viridiplantae; Streptophyta; Magnoliopsida; Poales; Poaceae.
AUGGCAUACUAUAUAUAUGUUAACAUUAAAACACUAUGCCAUCCCUCCUCUCCCUCCUUACUGUCCCUUCGCCUAGACCAGGAGGAUGAUUUCCGAGGACUACGUUGUGUAGGCAAGAACCAUCAAGAAUUGGAGUUCCUCUCGGUGAUAAAUGCUUACAUAUAUUGUAUGCUUGCUCACGACCAUCUACAAGACAGAGCGGGUGAAAAGGUACACAUUAUUAGCACGUUUGUAUCUGGUCAGAUAAAAGAAGAAGGUGAAAGAGACAUCGACCCAUCAAAAUAUCGUCGCAUCGUGCGUCAUGUUAAUACUUAUCUACAGCAAGAUAUGUUAUUCAUUCCGAUUAACAUGCCGGGCUACCAUUGGUAUCUAGCAGUCGCUAAUGCCAAAAAACGAGAGAUCCAAGUAUUAGACUCACUUGGUGAGAAUGUCAAACGCAAUGACCUUGCUACUACGUUACGGGGGCUCGAGAAAUGGCUGAAACUUGCAUAG